RNAcentral lists this ribosomal RNA (1368 nucleotides) under uncultured bacterium. RNAcentral describes it as "bacterial SSU rRNA". It matches the Rfam family "Bacterial small subunit ribosomal RNA", at positions 28 to 1381 of the family's 1533-position model. The record is from RNAcentral.
GACGAACGCUGGCGGCGUGCCUAAUACAUGCAAGUAGAACGCUGAAGAGAGGAGCUUGCUCUUCUUGGAUGAGUUGCGAACGGGUGAGUAACGCGUAGGUAACCUGCCUUGUAGCGGGGGAUAACUAUUGGAAACGAUAGCUAAUACCGCAUAACAAUGGAUGACUCAUGUCAUUUAUUUGAAAGGGGCAAAUGCUCCACUACAAGAUGGACCUGCGUUGUAUUAGCUAGUAGGUGAGGUAACGGCUCACCUAGGCGACGAUACAUAGCCGACCUGAGAGGGUGAUCGGCCACACUGGGACUGAGACACGGCCCAGACUCCUACGGGAGGCAGCAGUAGGGAAUCUUCGGCAAUGGGGGCAACCCUGACCGAGCAACGCCGCGUGAGUGAAGAAGGUUUUCGGAUCGUAAAGCUCUGUUGUAAGUCAAGAACGAGUGUGAGAGUGGAAAGUUCACACUGUGACGGUAGCUUACCAGAAAGGGACGGCUAACUACGUGCCAGCAGCCGCGGUAAUACGUAGGUCCCGAGCGUUGUCCGGAUUUAUUGGGCGUNAAGCGAGCGCAGGCGGUUUGAUAAGUCUGAAGUUAAGGCUGUGGCUCAACCAUAGUUCGCUUUGGAAACUGUCAAACUUGAGUGCAGAAGGGGAGAGUGGAAUUCCAUGUGUAGCGGUGAAAUGCGUAGAUAUAUGGAGGAACACCGGUGGCGAAAGCGGCUCUCUGGUCUGUAACUGACGCUGAGGCUCGAAAGCGUGGGGAGCGAACAGGAUUAGGUACCCUGGUAGUCCACGCCGUAAACGAUGAGUGCUAGGUGUUGGAUCCUUUCCGGGAUUCAGUGCCGCAGCUAACGCAUUAAGCACUCCGCCUGGGGAGUACGACCGCAAGGUUGAAACUCAAAGGAAUUGACGGGGGCCCGCACAAGCGGUGGAGCAUGUGGUUUAAUUCGAAGCAACGCGAAGAACCUUACCAGGUCUUGACAUCCCGAUGCUAUUUCUAGAGAUAGAAAGUUACUUCGGUACAUCGGUGACAGGUGGUGCAUGGUUGUCGUCAGCUCGUGUCGUGAGAUGUUGGGUUAAGUCCCGCAACGAGCGCAACCCCUAUUGUUAGUUGCCAUCAUUCAGUUGGGCACUCUAGCGAGACUGCCGGUAAUAAACCGGAGGAAGGUGGGGAUGACGUCAAAUCAUCAUGCCCCCUAUGACCUGGGCUACACACGUGCUACAAUGGUUGGUACAACGAGUUGCGAGUCGGUGACGGCAAGCUAAUCUCUUAAAGCCAAUCUCAGUUCGGAUUGUAGGCUGCAACUCGCCUACAUGAAGUCGGAGUCGCUAGUAAUCGCGGAUCAGCACGCCGCGGUGAAUACGUUCCCGGGCCU